CCUACGGGAGGCAGCAGUGAGGAAUAUUGGUCAAUGGACGAGAGUCUGAACCAGCCAAGUAGCGUGAAGGAUGACUGCCCUAUGGGUUGUAAACUUCUUUUAUAAAGGAAUAAAACGAGGCACGUGUGCCUUUUUGCAUGUCCUUUAUGCAUAAGUAUCGGCUUACUCCGUGCCAGCAGCCGCGGUAAUACGGAGGAUCCGAGCGUUAUCCGGAUUUAUUGGGUUUAAAGGGAGCGUAGAUGGGUUGUUAAGUCAGUUGUGAAAGUUUGUGGCUCAACCGUAAAAUUGCAAUUGAUACUGGCAGGCUGGAGUACAGUUGAGGUAGGCGGAAUUCGGGGUGUAGCGGUGAAAUGCUUAGAUAUCACGAAGAACCCCGAUUGCGAAGGCAGCUUACUAAACUGUGACUGA
RNAcentral lists this ribosomal RNA (408 nucleotides) under uncultured bacterium. RNAcentral describes it as "partial 16S ribosomal RNA". It matches the Rfam family "Bacterial small subunit ribosomal RNA", at positions 338 to 743 of the family's 1533-position model. The record is from RNAcentral.